Molecule: non-coding RNA, 24 nt
Filed under: Arabidopsis thaliana (thale cress)
Lineage: Eukaryota; Viridiplantae; Streptophyta; Magnoliopsida; Brassicales; Brassicaceae
Source: RNAcentral
AAAUGGUUUAAAGUGCAUUUGAUG